This 433-nucleotide ribosomal RNA is filed under the name uncultured bacterium. Its description in RNAcentral is "partial 16S ribosomal RNA". It matches the Rfam family "Bacterial small subunit ribosomal RNA", at positions 29 to 507 of the family's 1533-position model. The record is from RNAcentral.
AACGAACGCUGGCGGCAGGCCUAACACAUGCAAGUCGAGCGAGGACUUCGGUCCUAGCGGCAGACGGGUGAGUAACGCGUGGGAACGUGCCCUUUGCUUCGGAAUAGCCCUGGGAAACUGGGAGUAAUACCGGAUGAGCCCUUUGGGGGAAAGAUUUAUCGGCGAAGGAUCGGCCCGCGUUGGAUUAGGUAGUUGGUGGGGUAAUGGCCUACCAAGCCGACGAUCCAUAGCUGGUUUGAGAGGAUGAUCAGCCACACUGGGACUGAGACACGGCCCAGACUCCUACGGGAGGCAGCAGUGGGGAAUCUUAGACAAUGGGGGAAACCCUGAUCGAGCCAUGCCGCGUGAGCGAUGAAGGCCUUAGGGUUGUAAAGCUCUUUCAGCUGGGAAGAUAAUGACGGUACCAGCAGAAGAAGCCCCGGCUAACUCCGUG